Molecule: unclassified non-coding RNA, 277 nt
Filed under: Clostridioides difficile
Lineage: Bacteria; Bacillati; Bacillota; Clostridia; Peptostreptococcales; Peptostreptococcaceae
Description: 16S-23S ribosomal RNA intergenic spacer (ISR)
Source: RNAcentral
ACCUACUGUUUAAUUUUGAGGGUUCGUUUUUACGAAUACUCAAAAUUAGCACUUUUAGCAACAGAAUAAACUGAACGCAUGUGAAGUUUGUUUGUUGGCGACGUGCUUUAGCACUUUAAGCAACGGAAUUUAUUCGUUGGCGCUGUGCGUUAGCACUUUGAAAACUGCAUAUAUAUUUAGUGAUAUGACAUCUAAUUUGUAAUAUAUAAAGCUGAUAACUUUUUAAAAUUAUCGAAGUUGAUAGCUUCUAAUCUAUCAAACCUUUUUAACUGGUCAA